UGGCUCAGAUUGAACGCUGGCGGCAGGCUUAACACAUGCAAGUCGAGCGGGGAUAGGGUGCUUGCACCUGAUCCUAGCGGCGGACGGGUGAGUAAUGCUUAGGAAUCUGCCUAUUAGUGGGGGACAACGUUCCGAAAGGGACGCUAAUACCGCAUACGUCCUACGGGAGAAAGCAGGGGAUCUUCGGACCUUGCGCUAAUAGAUGAGCCUAAGUCGGAUUAGCUAGUUGGUGGGGUAAAGGCCUACCAAGGCGACGAUCUGUAGCGGGUCUGAGAGGAUGAUCCGCCACACUGGGACUGAGACACGGCCCAGACUCCUACGGGAGGCAGCAGUGGGGAAUAUUGGACAAUGGGGGCAACCCUGAUCCAGCCAUGCCGCGUGUUGUGAAGAAGGCCUUUUGGUUGUAAAGCACUUUAAGCGAGGAGGAGGCUUACCUGGUUAAUACCCGGGAUAAGUGGACGUUACUCGCAGAAUAAGCACCGGCUAACUCUGUGCCAGCAGCCGC
This 505-nucleotide ribosomal RNA is filed under the name uncultured bacterium. RNAcentral's name for it is "bacterial SSU rRNA". It matches the Rfam family "Bacterial small subunit ribosomal RNA", at positions 20 to 518 of the family's 1533-position model. The record is from RNAcentral.